ACACGCACACACCAUCGUAGGCCGCACAGAAAGAGAACGGAAAAAACGGAAAAUAGUCCUCAUUCUUCGCCCACCACUUGCCUGCAUCGAAAGGCAAACAAGCAAAUAGUUCGGGGGUCAGUGAAAGUGGCCAGUGCAGUGUAAGUUAAAUUGCUGAUAUUCCGGCCCCGUGUGGUGCCGGGUAGACGGUACCUUUCCGACACAGUGUCCCGUGGGAGUUUCACGGUUUGAGACACGGACAUAAGGAAGCACGCACGUGCAAAGUUUCGGAUCACGGCACAACCUAGCCGCGGGAAGAAAACGGAAACCCGCGUGAUCACGAUUCGUUCCCAGUACAACCGGAAUCACAAAGUAACGUGCCAUUUCUUGCAAUUCUGAAGCUGACGAAGAUCAAACACCUGGUGGCCCAAACUGGUACGAGGAGAGACGAAAGCGUUGGUUCGGAUUGAGCAGAAAAACCCCGCUGGGGUUUUUUUUUCUGUGGAGCCAACUUCCGUCAUCGAGAUCCGGGUGGAUCGGCAGCAUUGCGUCGCGAAGAAUUUCCGGAGCAACGAUUGCGUUUCGCAUGUCCGGCAGGACUGAGUCGAAGGAGACAGUCUCGGGAACAAGCAGCCCUUCAGUGCAUCACUCGGAGGGACCCCAUCCAGUUACGCGGUCGCACUGGACGGCCAGAGGGGUCUCCAGCAGAGUGAUUAGGAUGCAUGCGUGGGACGGCAGUGAAAUGCGGCAGGCGAGCAGUCGCGGCAGCGAGAGCUCCCCCGAAAUCUAGUGUAGGGUGACGCUUCGAACACAGAAGGUACAGCAGAUGCUGUGAAGAGACCGUGAGUACGAAAAAUCUAUGUUGUAAAUCAGAAAGACAGAGAAGGAGAAAUGAGAUGAGAAGAUAAGAGCUAGGUGGAGAAGAAGAUGAGGGCAAAUGCCCCAAAUAUAUGUAUGAAAUUAGA
Armigeres subalbatus is the source of this 944-nucleotide long non-coding RNA. RefSeq lists it as uncharacterized. Lineage: Eukaryota; Metazoa; Arthropoda; Insecta; Diptera; Culicidae. The transcript is spliced from 4 exons. The record is from RefSeq and is a predicted model, not a curated record.